Long non-coding RNA from Liolophura sinensis, 956 nucleotides. RefSeq lists it as uncharacterized. The record is from RefSeq and is a predicted model, not a curated record. Lineage: Eukaryota; Metazoa; Mollusca; Polyplacophora; Chitonida; Chitonidae. The transcript has 3 exons.
ACCGGUGUAACAUCAAUUUUCACUGAUUCCACAUUUACGACUGUCACAGCGACACAAGGCACAAAUUCCGCGGCACUCACAGCAGGCUUGGUUGUUGGGUUAGGAGGGGCGAUUCUGCUGGCUGUCAUGGUUUUGGUUGUUGUUGUUCGAAAACGUAAAAGAAAGAGUGGCGAUGGCACUGGUAAGACCAUUAAGAAGGCCUUCUGUGGAACGACAAAUGACCAGCGAACGCUGCUUACAGUAAUGUUUCCGUGUCGGAUUCCACGGGUCAAGAUAAUGCAGCUUGCUCAACAGCUAUCGUGCAGACCGACGACUACGAAGAAGUGGAUUUGGACAGAAAUUCCACAUUAAACAACGGUGUGGAUGGUGACGCCGCCAUGGUAACCAGUAAAAAUGAUGGUACAGCAUGGGCAAUGCAAGGUAGCCCACAGAAUGCGGAAUACACCUUCACCGAACGAGUAUCACAUUCUGUGUGAAAUGAAAAACGCCAAUGGGAAUGAAUGUAGUAUUCAGCCCGAAAUGAACGGAAACGAAAAUACCAAGGGCCUUUCAGGAAAAGGAGGAUUUAGUAGAACAGAACGAAUACCACAUUCUGUGUGAUCCGAAAAACGCUAAUGGGAAUGAAUGUAGUAUUCAGCCCGAAAUGAACGGAAACGAAAAUACCAAGGCCUUUCAGGAAAAGGAGGAUUCAGUAGAACAGAACGAAUACCACAUUCUGUGUGAUCCGAAAAACGCUAAUGGGAAUGAAUGUAGUAUUCAGCCCGAAAUGAACGGAAACGAAGAUACCAAGGCCUUUCAGGAAAAGGAGGAUUCAGUAGAACAGAACGAAUACCACAUUCUGUGUGAUCCGAAAAACGCUAAUGGGAAUGAAUGUAGUAUUCAGCCCGAAAUGAACGGAAACGAAAAUACCAAGGCCUUUCAGGAAAAGGAGGAUUCAGUAGAACAGAACGCAUACC